Molecule: long non-coding RNA, 1586 nt
Organism: Frieseomelitta varia
Lineage: Eukaryota; Metazoa; Arthropoda; Insecta; Hymenoptera; Apidae
Exons: 3
Source: RefSeq, a predicted model, not a curated record
UUUAAUUUUUGUACACUAUUUCUUUUCAAAUUAUGCCAAAACUUAUUAUUAUUAAAACAAUUUUUGAACAAAUGGUUCUUUUCUAAUCUUAUGCAUUUAUGUGAUAUGUGAUAAAUAGAAGUAUUGCUUUCAGAUACCUGAAGGAUAUUUUUUCGAUGUUUAAUGAUUAGUAAUUAUUUUGCAUAAACAUCAAUAUAUCAUAAAACAAGAAAUUCGUCUUGGAAUAGAUCGGACUAUUAAUUAUUAAUCAAGAAAGAUUCCUAAAGAGUAAAGAAAGAGUCAUCUUGAAAUCUUGGAGGAGGUUGAACUUUUUUUUAGAUGAGAUUUGCAUCAGAAGAGGUCCAUUUUGAAAUAGAUGUGGCUUGGCAUGUUAAAAGGGAAAAAGUGACAUCGAACGAAAGAAAUCUUAUGUACAGUGUUGGUAAGUAAAGGGACGAAAGGGCUGGAUGCAUUUUAUGCUUUUGUGAGGCGUAAGCGGUGUACACACGAUGCAUAAAUACUAAGGAACCGGUUUUCUAUGUUAUCCACGCAAUACGAGAAGUAUACAGUUUACGGGUUAAGAAAAAGAGCUUAAGGGGGCAGCACAAUUUUGUGGGAUUGCCUUGUGUUCGUGGCUCGUUACUCGAGAUUCUCACAGGUCGAGAGAUUGCAGUGCAGGCUAGAAUAUUCAAGCAGGCUGGCGUAAAAUAAUUCAUCGAAGUGGUUGCAGUUACCUCAGUUGACAAAAUUCUACAAAGAAUAAAAUCGAUACAAGGUACUGUUUCAAAAUUAUAUUUCUUAUCUUAUCGUUUGUUUGUCUGCCUCAUGUCCGAGUGAGUUUCUCCGUUCAUUUUCUUUUUAUUAAUCGGCUUUAAUGAAGUUAUUAAUUCAUGUCGGCGAAACAUUUCAAUGUGGAUGAAAUAAUUAGCAAUCAUUAAUUCGAUUGUUCGCGUUUUAAUUGCGGUGAACGCGGUAAAAGUUAUAUCGAAAUCGUGGGCUUGUGAUUUCAGGGAUAAAAAGCUCGCUUUAGGAAAUGUUAAUUAGUAUUGUCAUUUUUAUUCCCAUUAUCUGACUUUGCAAUUAACUCACACUGCGAUAGUAUUCGUAUGAAUUGUCGUAACUUUUUUCUCUUUCUUUCUUUCUUUCUGUCUUUCUUUCUCUGACUGUCUUUUCCCGGCAGAACAUUGAAAAUCUCGAAAUAAAAAUUUUAAUUUUUGCAUAAUUUUAAAUUUUAUAGCGAAUUAAUUAAUAGGCGACUUUCGGUUUAUUCACGUCAGGAAUAUCGAAUUUCUACAAAAACAACGAUAACCAACGAAUGUACUUAAUCAUGCUCGCGAUCUAUAUAAAAUUUACAAUAAACGUGUUUAUAUUUAAAGAGCAGUUUAUUGUGUUCGCGUAACAUUGGAUUAAAAUGAAAAUCAAAUUUUUUACAGCGAUCGAUUGAAAUUCUUUUGCAAAUUACAUUUCCCGAACGAAAUAAUCGGUUUCUAAAUUAAUCCACGUACAUAGUACAAAAUUUUUUCGGAAUCGUUAGUUGAAUUCACGGUGCAAACAAUGUUCCAAUGCAAUGAAGGCUAGUUGUUAAACGUGUUUGCGAUUUUAGCCAU